AAGGAUCAUUAACGAAGUACUAGAGGGGUUGUAGCUGCCUUGAAAGAGGAUGUGCACGCCUUUCAAACCUUCUAUUUACCACUUGUGCACUCUUGCGGAGACUGUGAUGGCUCUCACAUGAAAAUUGUGGAUGGUAGGCUUGCUAAGUGCUUGCUUGCGAUUUCGCAGUCUCUUGCUUUUUUACACACACUAUAAAAAUUUUGAAUGUUGAUUUACGGAUUGUGAUGAUCUGUAAUAAUUGAAAAUACGACUUUUAGCAACGGAUCUCUUGGCUCUCGCAUCGAUGAAGAACGCAGCGAAAUGCGAUAACUAAUGUGAAUUGCAGAAUUCAGUGAAUCAUCGAGUCUUUGAACGCACCUUGCACCCUUUGGUAUUCCGAAGGGUAUGCCUGUUUGAGUGUCAUUAAAUUCUCAAACUCGGUAUGUUUCUUUUGAAACAUAUCGAGCUUUGGAUGUGGAGGUUGCAGGCUUUAACGAGCAGGCUCUUCUUAAAUGCAUUAGUGGCUUUGUCGAUCCCCAUUAUUCGGUGUGAUAGUAAUAUCUGCAUCGUUAACUAAUGGCUAGUUCAUGCAAUGGCAAUUUUAAAGCUGCUCUCUAACUGUCUUCGGACAAUUUGAACCAUUUGGNCUCAAAUCAGGUAGGACUACCCGCUGAACUUAA
Molecule: ribosomal RNA, 659 nt
Filed under: uncultured fungus
Lineage: Eukaryota; Fungi
Description: eukaryotic LSU rRNA
Rfam family: 5.8S ribosomal RNA (bases 249-402)
Source: RNAcentral